GGGAUGGGCUAAAUGGGUAAGGGGAAUUAAGGAAUCUAGUCCUGAAAUCAUUGUUGUACUAUAUGCUAACUUGGAUGUAAAUUAAAAACAAUAAAAGUUACUUGAUUUUUACCAGUGUCCAAUCCAGUAUUACUUCAUUGAUCAUUUGUCUCAAACCUUAAAGCUAGCACUCUUUUCAGUAGUGAAUGGAUUUCUGUUUUCCAAUACUGAUGGGAAUAUUCAAAUUGAAGAUUUACAUAUCAGAGAGAACAUUUAUCCCCAAAAUCGGGAUGAUCCUCCAAGUACAUAGAUUUGAAAUCAGAAACAGAUAUAAAUGUGAUGGAUAAAAGGAAAAAUAAAAACAGAUUCAUUUGAAAGCUUACCUAUGAAAGUAACAGGAAAUAAUCUUCCUUUCAGAGGAGAAAGUAGAAAAAUAAUUGUUGGGCUGCAGAAAGAGGCAGGUAAUCUCCUGGCUAUUUUAGGACUAAACAAGGAUGAAUGCAAUUGUGGUUUUUACCUCAUAUAAUCCAAAAGGAUCCAUGAAGACUGUGAACAUCAUAUAAUACUUGUGUUAAGAUUGAAAUGCAUCAAUCUGAAUUAGAAUGCUUUUUUUGUUUUAAUGUCAAGAAGAAUGAAAAUAAAUGCUGGACAUGAUACAGUUAUUUUGGAGGGCUGUUAUUUUCAUAGUCAUUAGAGCCAAUUUAAUCAAUAAAAUUGUUAAGUUUGAGAAAGGGAAGAAAAUCAGUUGUUAAUUUAUUCAGAAAGCACCCAUAAGGAAAAAGUAUAUGAGGAAAGUAAUUUGUUUUAAUAUAGGGCUAUUUUGUCAUUUAUUUCACAUACCUGAUGAAUAUAUACUGACAUUGGGGUAUUUCACUUUUAUUUUUACAACUAUGGAAUUUCACAGUACUACCCAAUUAUAGUCCAUGUUGUGGCUGCCUUUCCCAGAUUCAUUUAACCACCCAUGCUGUUUCCUUUCCUUCCACCAAAUCAUAAGCAUUUCUGUGGUUAGAUUGGAAUUGAACCCUCACUCGACCUCUAGGAUUAUCUCAUUCCCAUGGUGUAGUGUUUGGAUUUAGGACCCUGUCCAUCACCAAAUGACAUUUCUAAUCAACAGGGAUUGAUUCACUAAUAUGACAAGAUAGGAAGACCCUGAAUUCAUCUCCUUUAUAUAACACAGCAAAUUACAAUUAUAGAAGAAUUCCUGAAGAAGAAUGGAGAGCCAACUGAACAGCUUCCACACAAGGAAAGAGAGAAGAGUAAAAAAAGAAAAGCAAGAGAGAUGGAGAAAUGCCAACAAAGGGAACACCCACCUUUAACACUGCAAACUGCAGUGGGGAGGGAUAAUAUUGAGGGACACAGGAGAGAUUGCUUUGUCCUUAGGCACAGGAAAAAGGAAAAAAAAAGCUGCAACUGGUUUAUAAAAGAGCCAACCCUGGAACUCUAUCAAAUGGAGAAGCUACUAGAACUCUCUGGGUCAAAGGGACUGGAAAAUGACAUAAUUUAUGCACCCCCCCACCCCAUGUUGAAAGUGCAUACUGGAGCAGGGUCAGCACACCCUAACCUGAUUGAGCUUCAAACAAGGCCAAGUCCCCUAGGCCACACCAGCUCUGGUUGUGGUGAGGCACAGAAAAAAAAGCCAAAAAAAAAAAAGCCAGGGUUUAAAAGAAUAAUGAGCCUAUAAAAGAGCCAGCCCUAGAUCUCAAUCAAGUGGAGGAAGCUGCUGAAAUUCUCUCCGGGUGGGAGGGGCUGCUGGACACAAUCUGUGCUCCCCCUAUACCUUGACAGCAGGGACCAGUGGACAACCCAGGCGCCCUAACUGGCCUGGCACCUCCGUGAACCCUGGACCCCUAACUCACACCAGCUCCAGCUAUCCCACAAGAAGGCCACAGGGUGGUACACAGUGGGAUACCCCUGGUUAGUGCUUACUACUGAUCCAGCCUUUAAGCCAAGGUGACACAGGCACAAAGCACCAUGGAACGCUCCAGGCCCACACCACUUUACUUCAGACAGCUUGCUAGGGCACCCCUGGUUCAAAGUGCUCUAGAACCUGCUGUGCUGCCAGGGUGCCCCUGUAUAAAGCACCCCAAGAACCCCUGGCCCUUGCCUACAUUAUUUCCCUUUACCCGGCCAGGGGGUUACUUCCUGUUCGUGGAGUACAUUGGGGCACUCCCAUCCACAGUGGCCUCAACUCCAAUCAUAUGGCUAGGGCACCACCUGUGCUGAGCAUUCAAGGACAUUCAGCUUUUACCCACUUCAGGUGGCCGGUCAGGGCACCCUCAGAGUGGAGAGCCCCAGGACAAGGCAGCUUGCAAUCACUUCAGCUUCAGCUGUUCUGCCAGGACAGACUUUGCACAAAGAGCUCAGAGACCACACUGGCCCAUACCCACUUUAGAUUUAGCUGUCUUGUCAGAGUGUACCCUACACAGAGUGCCCCAGGACCCCCUGUGUGUACCCUGCCUCAGCUCUAGCCACCCACCUCUCCAGGGAACCCUGUGUGUGGAGACUCCUGGAACAUGCUGGUUUACACCCACUUCACAGCUUUACUUAUCCUGCCAAGGCUUCCUCUACAUGGAGAGCCUAGAGGCACCCAGCUUGCAUCCAGUUUAGCUUUAGCUGUCCUGCCAGGGCACCCAUGGUUUGGAGAGCCCAGGGACUGCACUGCUCUGUGCCCACUUAAACUUUAGCUGCCAUACUAGGGUGCUCACUGGGUGGAGAGCUCCAGGAUCCCCAGCCCAUGCCAGCCACAGUUCUAGCCAACCAGGAAAAGUGACCAAGAACACACAGUCUACAUAGGGGAUGACCAUACACAAGACCAUUCCUUUAAGUUCAGAAGUAGCUAUUCUACCUAAUCCACAGAGAAACAAAGUAUAGGAAAACAGGAAUAUUCUGCAAAAGAAUAAGACAAAGUUUCAGACAACUAAGUGAAAUGGAGAUAAGCAAUGUACCUGAUAAAAAAAACUUAAUGAUUGUAAAAAUGCUCACUGGGCUGCAGAGAAGACUGGGAGAAAGACCUUCAAUAAAAAUUAUACACACACACACACACAAACACACACACACACACACGUAUAUAAUAACCAAUCAGGGGUGCCUGAGUGGCUCAGUUGGUUAAGCACUUGACUC
Long non-coding RNA from Felis catus (domestic cat), 3099 nucleotides. RefSeq lists it as uncharacterized. The transcript has 4 exons. Lineage: Eukaryota; Metazoa; Chordata; Mammalia; Carnivora; Felidae. The record is from RefSeq and is a predicted model, not a curated record.